UGCAAGUCGAGCGGUAACAGGUCUAGCUUGCUAGACGCUGACGAGCGGCGGACGGGUGAGUAAUGCAUAGGAAUCUGCCCGAUAGUGGGGGAUAACCUGGGGAAACCCAGGCUAAUACCGCAUACGUCCUACGGGAGAAAGGGGGCUCCGGCUCCCGCUAUCGGAUGAGCCUAUGUCGGAUUAGCUAGUUGGUGAGGUAAAGGCUCACCAAGGCGACGAUCCGUAGCUGGUCUGAGAGGAUGAUCAGCCACAUCGGGACUGAGACACGGCCCGAACUCCUACGGGAGGCAGCAGUGGGGAAUAUUGGACAAUGGGGGCAACCCUGAUCCAGCCAUGCCGCGUGUGUGAAGAAGGCCUUAGGGUUGUAAAGCACUUUCAGCGAGGAAGAACGCCUGGCGGUUAAUACCCGCCAGGAAAGACAUCACUCGCAGAAGAAGCACCGGCUAACUCCGUGCCAGCAGCCGCGGUAAUACGGAGGGUGCAAGCGUUAAUCGGAAUUACUGGGCGUAAAGCGCGCGUAGGUGGCUUGAUAAGCCGGUUGUGAAAGCCCCGGGCUCAACCUGGGAACGGCAUCCGGAACUGUCAGGCUAGAGUGCAGGAGAGGAAGGUAGAAUUCCCGGUGUAGCGGUGAAAUGCGUAGAGAUCGGGAGGAAUACCAGUGGCGAAGGCGGCCUUCUGGACUGACACUGACACUGAGGUGCGAAAGCGUGGGUAGCAAACAGGAUUAGAUACCCUGGUAGUCCACGCCGUAAACGAUGUCGACCAGCCGUUGGGUGCCUAGCGCACUUUUGUGGCGAAGUUAACGCGAUAAGUCGACCGCCUGGGGAGUACGGCCGCAAGGUUAAAACUCAAAUGAAUUGACGGGGGCCCGCACAAGCGGGGAACUUGUGGUUUAAUUCCAUGCACCCGAAAAACUUACUACCCUUGACUCCUGCGAAUU
Molecule: ribosomal RNA, 940 nt
Filed under: Vreelandella songnenensis
Lineage: Bacteria; Pseudomonadati; Pseudomonadota; Gammaproteobacteria; Oceanospirillales; Halomonadaceae
Description: bacterial SSU rRNA
Rfam family: Bacterial small subunit ribosomal RNA
Source: RNAcentral